AGAGUUUGAUCCUGGCUCAGGAUGAACGCUGGCGGCGUGCCUAACACAUGCAAGUCGAACGGGCACUUUAGGGUGUUAGUGGCGGACGGGUGAGUAACGCGUGAGAAUCUAGCUCUAGGUCUAGGACAACCAUUGGAAACGGUGGCUAAUACUGGAUGUGCCGGGAGGUAAAAGGCUUGCUGCCUUAAAGAAGAGCUGCGUCAGAUUAGAUAGUAGGUGUGGUAAGAGCGCACCUAGGCGACGAUCUGUAGCUGGUCUGAGAGGACGAUCAGCCACACUGGAACUCAGACACGGUCCAGACUCCUACGGGAGGCAGCAGUGGGGAAUUUUCCGCAAUGGGCGAAAGCCUGACGGAGCAAUACCGCGUGAGGGAGGAAGGCUCUUGGGUUGUAAACCUCUUUUCUCUAGGAAGAUAAUGACGGUACUAGAGGAAUAAGCAUCGGCUAACUCCGUGCCAGCAGCCGCGGUAAUACGGAGGAUGCAAGCGUUAUCCGGAAUGAUUGGGCGUAAAGCGUCCGCAGGUGGUUUUAAAAGUCUGUUGUUAAAGCGUGAGGCUUAACCUCAUAAGGGCAAUGGAAACUAUAAGACUAGAGUACGUUCGGGGCAAGGGGAAUUCCCAGUGUAGCGGUGAAAUGCGUAGAGAUUGGGAAGAACACCGGUGGCGAAAGCGCCUUGCUAGGCCGUAACUGACACUGAGGGACGAAAGCUAGGGGAGCGAAUGGGAUUAGAUACCCCAGUAGUCC
This 743-nucleotide ribosomal RNA is filed under the name Calothrix sp. UAM 336. RNAcentral describes it as "bacterial SSU rRNA". It matches the Rfam family "Bacterial small subunit ribosomal RNA", at positions 8 to 796 of the family's 1533-position model. Lineage: Bacteria; Bacillati; Cyanobacteriota; Cyanophyceae; Nostocales; Calotrichaceae. The record is from RNAcentral.